CUCUUUGAAGGUUCUUCGGCAUCGUCCCCUGACCCUGAUGUUGUUCGUGAAGCGCUAAAUUUCCUGCUAUCGUCUGAGGUAAGGAAUCAGGAUUGCAUAUUUGUGCUCCGCGGAGUGACUGCAGCAGCGCAUGAGGUGGCAUGGACAUGGUUGAAGGAAAACUGGGACUACAUAGCAAAGACAUUCACUGGACACCUGCUCACCUAUUUCAUCACCGUCACUGUCUCAC
Molecule: long non-coding RNA, 229 nt
Organism: Triticum aestivum (bread wheat)
Lineage: Eukaryota; Viridiplantae; Streptophyta; Magnoliopsida; Poales; Poaceae
Exons: 3
Source: RefSeq, a predicted model, not a curated record